Molecule: ribosomal RNA, 563 nt
Filed under: uncultured bacterium
Lineage: Bacteria
Description: bacterial SSU rRNA
Rfam family: Bacterial small subunit ribosomal RNA
Source: RNAcentral
GAAAGCGGUGCUAAUACCGGAUAAUAUCUUUUAAUCCUUGGAUUGAUAGAUUAAAGGUGGCCUCUAUAUAUAAGCUAUCGUUUGAGGAGGAGCCCGCGUACCAUUAGCUUGUUGGUAGGGUAAUGGCCUACCAAGGCUACGAUGGUUAGCUGGUCUGAGAGGAUGAUCAGCCACACUGGAACUGACACACGGUCCAGACUCCUACGGGAGGCAGCAGUGAGGAAUUUUGCGCAAUGGGGGCAACCCUGACGCAGCAACGCCGCGUGAGUGAUGAAGGCUUUAGGGUCGUAAAGCUCUGUCAAGUGGAAAGAAUCUGCAAAGUGCUAAUAUCAUUUUGCACUGACGGUACCACUGAAGGAAGCACCGGCUAACUCCGUGCCAGCAGCCGCGGUAAUACGGGGGGUGCAAGCGCUAUUCGGAAUUAUUGGGCGUAAAGAGCGCGUAGGCGGUUUUUUAAGUCAGAUGUGAAAGCCCGGGGCUUAACCCCGGAAGUGCAUUUGAAACUGAAUGACUUGAGUAUGGGAGAGGGAAAGUGGAAUUCCUGGUGUAGAGGUGAAAUUCGG